Molecule: ribosomal RNA, 492 nt
Filed under: uncultured bacterium
Lineage: Bacteria
Description: partial 16S ribosomal RNA
Rfam family: Bacterial small subunit ribosomal RNA
Source: RNAcentral
AUUGAACGCUGGCGGCAUGCUUUACACAUGCAAGUCGAACGGUAACAGGCCUUCGGGUGCUGACGAGUGGCGAACGGGUGAGUAAUGCAUCGGAACGUGCCCAGAGGUGGGGGAUAACGCAGCGAAAGCUGUGCUAAUACCGCAUGUGAUCUGAGGAUGAAAGCGGGGGACCAAGCAGCAAUGUUUGGCCUCGCGCCUCUGGAGCGGCCGAUGUCAGAUUAGGUAGUUGGUGGGGUAAAGGCCUACCAAGCCGACGAUCUGUAGCUGGUCUGAGAGGACGACCAGCCACACUGGGACUGAGACACGGCCCAGACUCCUACGGGAGGCAGCAGUGGGGAAUUUUGGACAAUGGGCGCAAGCCUGAUCCAGCAAAGCCGCGUGCGGGAAGAAGGCCUUCGGGUUGUAAACCGCUUUUGUACGGAACGAAAAGGCUCUGGCUAAUACCUGGGGCUGAUGACGGUACCGUAAGAAUAAGCACCGGCUAACUACGUG